This 549-nucleotide ribosomal RNA is filed under the name uncultured bacterium. RNAcentral describes it as "bacterial SSU rRNA". It matches the Rfam family "Bacterial small subunit ribosomal RNA", at positions 356 to 896 of the family's 1533-position model. The record is from RNAcentral.
AGGGAAUCUUCCGCAAUGGGCGAAAGCCUGACGGAGCAACGCCGCGUGAGUGAUGAAGGUCUUCGGACCGUAAAACUCUGUUAUUAGGGAAGAACAUAUGUGUAAGUAACUGUGCACAUCUUGACGGUACCUAAUCAGAAAGCCACGGCUAACUACGUGCCAGCAGCCGCGGUAAUACGUAGGUGGCAAGCGUUAUCCGGAAUUAUUGGGCGUAAAGCGCGCGUAGGCGGUUUUUUAAGUCUGAUGUGAAAGCCCACGGCUCAACCGUGGAGGGUCAUUGGAAACUGGAAAACUUGAGUGCAGAAGAGGAAAGUGGAAUUCCAUGUGUAGCGGUGAAAUGCGCAGAGAUAUGGAGGAACACCAGUGGCGAAGGCGACUUUCUGGUCUGUAACUGACGCUGAUGUGCGAAAGCGUGGGGAUCAAACAGGAUUAGAUACCCUGGUAGUCCACGCCGUAAACGAUGAGUGCUAAGUGUUAGGGGGUUUCCGCCCCUUAGUGCUGCAGCUAACGCAUUAAGCACUCCGCCUGGGGAGUACGACCGCAAGGUUG